GCCUACGGGAGGCAGCAGUGAGGAAUAUUGGUCAAUGGGCGCAAGCCUGAACCAGCCAAGUCGCGUGAGGGAAGACGGCCCUACGGGUUGUAAACCUCUUUUGCCGGGGAGCAAGCCUGAGCACGUGUGCCCAGGCGGAGAGUACCCGGAGAAAAAGCAUCGGCUAACUCCGUGCCAGCAGCCGCGGUAAUACGGAGGGGGCAAGCGUUAUCCGGAUUUACUGGGUGUAAAGGGAGCGUAGACGGUGCGCCAAGUCUGGAGUGAAAUGCCGCAGCUUAACUGCGGAACUGCUUUGGAAACUGGCG
Molecule: ribosomal RNA, 305 nt
Filed under: uncultured bacterium
Lineage: Bacteria
Description: bacterial SSU rRNA
Rfam family: Bacterial small subunit ribosomal RNA
Source: RNAcentral